This 532-nucleotide ribosomal RNA is filed under the name Trigonopterus sp. 889 AR-2022a. RNAcentral's name for it is "partial large subunit ribosomal RNA". It matches the Rfam family "Bacterial large subunit ribosomal RNA", at positions 1819 to 2625 of the family's 2925-position model. Lineage: Eukaryota; Metazoa; Arthropoda; Insecta; Coleoptera; Curculionidae. The record is from RNAcentral.
GGCCUGUAGAUUAUAAUUUCAGGUCUGACCUGCCCGAUGAGGAGUUAAAUGGCCGCGGUAUAUUGACCGUGCAAAGGUAGCAUAAUCAUUAGUUUUUUAAUUGAAAGCUUGAAUGAAAGGUUUAAUGAGAGAAUUUCUGUCUCUAUAAAAUUUUAUUAGAAUUUUAUUUCUAAGUGAAAAAGCUUAGAUAUAUAUAGAAGACGAGAAGACCCUAUAGAGUUUUAUAUUUGGAAAAAUUUGAAUUUUUAGAAUUUUAUAUUUAAUUUUAAAAAAGUAUUUUAUUGGGGUGAUAAAAAAAUUAAUAAAACUUUUUUUAAUAUUAACAUUUAUUUAUGAACAUGUGAUCCUAUAUUUUAGAUUAUAAGAAAAAAUUACCUUAGGGAUAACAGCGUAAUUUUUUCUAGAGUUCUUAUCGAAGAAAAGGAUUGCGACCUCGAUGUUGGAUUAAAUUAAAUUAUUGGUGUAGAAGCUGAUAAAUUAGGUCUGUUCGACCUUUAAAAUUUUACAUGAUCUGAGUUUAAACCGGUGUGAG